Molecule: long non-coding RNA, 555 nt
Organism: Eublepharis macularius
Lineage: Eukaryota; Metazoa; Chordata; Lepidosauria; Squamata; Eublepharidae
Exons: 2
Source: RefSeq, a predicted model, not a curated record
GCAGACAAUAUAAAAGGCCCCACUUCUUCAAGGUUUCUCAUAUACUCAACCACCCGUACAGUGACAACAUCUUCUUGGAAAUCAGCAGGGAUUACUCAAAGCACAGAAAAGAUGAGCCAACAACAACAGAGAGGAGGGAGCUGCUGCUGCUGUAGCUGUUGUGGUGGUGGAAGCGGUGGCCGCGGUGGAUGCUGCAGUGGCGGAUCUUCAUCUCAACAAAGCCAGAGAAGUGGUGGAUGCUGUGGUGGCAGCAGUAGUGGCAGAAGUGGUGGGUGCUGUGGUGGCAGCAGUGGUGGCAGCAGUGGUGGCUGCUGUGGAGGAGGAUCUUCUCAGCAGAAGCAACAGAAAAUUCCUCCUCAGAAGCUGAAGUAGAUGCCUUCAAUAAGAAUCAGAAUGCAUGAUGGCCAUCACUUACCGGUCUCCUUCCAUUCUUGCACGCCAGCCUUGGCUAACAUUUCUGAAUCACAAGCCCAGUCAUCUGAUUCGCAAAAUGUAGCGUUUCAUUUUCCUGGUUUGGAAUCCUUGUGAAGGCAUUAAAAAGUUUCAUUCAAACGG